This 863-nucleotide ribosomal RNA is filed under the name uncultured bacterium. RNAcentral's name for it is "bacterial SSU rRNA". It matches the Rfam family "Bacterial small subunit ribosomal RNA", at positions 8 to 853 of the family's 1533-position model. The record is from RNAcentral.
AGAGUUUGAUCAUGGCUCAGGACGAACGCUGGCGGCGUGCCUAAUACAUGCAAGUAGAACGCUGAAGUCUGGUGCUUGCACCGGAUGGAUGAGUUGCGAACGGGUGAGUAACGCGUAGGUAACCUACCUCAUAGCGGGGGAUAACUAUUGGAAACGAUAGCUAAUACCGCAUAACAGUCCUUAACUCAUGUUAGAGGCUUGAAAGGGGCAAUUGCUUCACUAUGAGAUGGACCUGCGUUGUAUUAGCUAGUUGGUGAGGUAACGGCUCACCAAGGCGGCGAUACAUAGCCGACCUGAGAGGGUGAUCGGCCACACUGGGACUGAGACACGGCCCAGACUCCUACGGGAGGCAGCAGUAGGGAAUCUUCGGCAAUGGGGGCAACCCUGACCGAGCAACGCCGCGUGAGUGAAGAAGGUUUUCGGAUCGUAAAGCUCUGUUGUAAGAGAAGAACGUGUGUGAGAGUGGAAAGUUCACACAGUGACGGUAUCUUACCAGAAAGGGACGGCCAACUACGUGCCAGCAGCCGCGGUAAUACGUAGGUCCCGAGCGUUGUCCGGAUUUAUUGGGCGUAAAGCGAGCGCAGGCGGUUUGAUAAGUCUGAAGUUAAAGGCUGUGGCUCAACCAUAGUACGCUUUGGAAACUGUCAAACUUGAGUGCAGAAGGGGAGAGUGGAAUUCCAUGUGUAGCGGUGAAAUGCGUAGAUAUAUGGAGGAACACCGGUGGCGAAAGCGGCUCUCUGGUCUGUAACUGACGCUGAGGCUCGAAAGCGUGGGUAGCGAACAGGAUUAGAUACCCUGGUAGUCCACGCCGUAAACGAUGAGUGCUAGGUGUUAGGCCCUUUCCGGGGCUUAGUGCCGCAGCU